Molecule: ribosomal RNA, 612 nt
Filed under: Russula nigricans
Lineage: Eukaryota; Fungi; Basidiomycota; Agaricomycetes; Russulales; Russulaceae
Description: eukaryotic LSU rRNA
Rfam family: 5.8S ribosomal RNA (bases 224-377)
Source: RNAcentral
AAGGAUCAUUAUCGUACUACAGAGGUGCGAGGGCUGUCGCUGACCUUUUUUCAAAGGUCGUGCACGCCCGAGCGCUCUCGCCUACAAUCCACCUCACCACUUGUGCAUCACCGCGCGGGGCCUCCCUCUUGGCUCGCUUCGAGAGAGGCUCGCGUUCUUCACAUCACACACACACCUUUUUAGUUUUGAAUGUCAUUCAUUUGCGAUAACACGCAAUCAAUACAACUUUCAACAACGGAUCUCUUGGCUCUCGCAUCGAUGAAGAACGCAGCGAAAUGCGAUACGUAAUGUGAAUUGCAGAAUUCAGUGAAUCAUCGAAUCUUUGAACGCACCUUGCGCCCCUUGGCAUUCCGAGGGGCACACCCGUUUGAGUGUCGUGAAAUUCUCAAACCUUCUUGGUUUCUUGACCAAGAUGGCUUUGGACUUUGGAGGCGUUGUGCUGGCUUUGCAAAAAGUCGGCUCCUCUUAAAUGCAUUAGUGGGGUCCCCUUUGCCAAUCCCCAGGCGUGAUAAGAUGUUUCUACGUCUUGGGAUUUGCUCUGUUCACUGGGAACCUGCUUCCAACCGUCUCGUGAGAGACAUCGUUCGAGCUUGCUCGGCACACGAAUCUUGA